Long non-coding RNA from Bubalus bubalis (water buffalo), 1433 nucleotides. RefSeq lists it as uncharacterized. The transcript has 3 exons. The record is from RefSeq and is a predicted model, not a curated record. Lineage: Eukaryota; Metazoa; Chordata; Mammalia; Artiodactyla; Bovidae.
CUAAAUGAGCUGAGGCUGGCUUGAUGGUUUCCUUCCUUCCUCUCAACAAACAUAUAUCUACUGUGCAUUAACCUCUGGUGUGGGAUAUAACAACGGAAGUAAAGAUGUCCACACUGGAGUAAUGUGUGCCGCCUGGAAGGUGGAAGAUGGAGAGCACUUUCUGGCUUAGAGUAGGCACUCAAGAGGACUUUAUACCUAUGAAGAAUGUGACACUGUCAGCUGCCCACUCUGUGGGAACUGCAAGGGAAACGCCACACAAGGAUAUAAUGCAUCUGCUCCUGUUCAUGUCACCAUCUGCCUUCCCUAACUUUGAAGUCUGUUGGGAACUUACAGCCUGUGGGAAUGUGAAGCUUCUUUCUACUGAUGUGUAACCCACCUGCACUGCGGUACAUGACUUGAUGGCUAGCUGUCAACCCAAUCAGUAUCAAUCUAUCAUCUGCCCAUUCACUUACUUGCAUGAUAAAUAUUUGCUAAGUUCCUAGCAUGUGCCAACUACUGAGUUAACUCCAUAUUGUACUGGGGAGAGUAGAAAAAACUUUAAAAAUCAAAACAGUCUUCAUCAUUUUGAAGUUUACCAUCUACUUGGGAGAUAGAUAUGCAAACAAGGACCACGAUGUGGAGUGAGUUAUAACAGAGGCAUUUGGGGAACACAGAAGGUUCAUGCUACAGAGGAACAUCAGGGCAGGCUUCAGAGAAGAGCUGAAGUUUUGACAGAGUCCUAAAGGAUGUGCAGGAAUCUUCUAAGCAGAGAUUGGAAAGGAGUAGGAAGACAGCAUUCUAGGCAAAAGGAACAGAUUGGGUAAAGACCGUACAAAAUGGCACAGCUCACUAGGAAUGCUUAAGGGGUGAAACAUCAGUGAAUACAGGAGAGAGAUGGGACUUAGGGCUACGGCAUGCUAAAAAAUACAGAAAUAAAUGCAAGGCUUUUAUGCCAGGAAGUGACAUCAUCAGCUAUUUCUGUUCUAGCAAGUGCACUCUUGUGCAAUGUGGAGGAGGGACUGACUGGAGGCAGGGAGGUAAAUGCAGGGAUGAACUUAUGCAUGGGCAGAUGGAGAGGAGGGGGUGGAUCUGAGAGUUGCAAGGGCAGCAGAAUGAACAGAGCCUGGGGAGCUGCAAAGGAGCAAGAAUGAAGGCUGCCUCCGGGGUUAGGGACUUGGAGAAGAAAGAAAAUAGUGUCAUGUCUCUGGCUGGGAAGUCAUGAGAAGAAGGUAGUUCGGGGCAGAGGAAGGCAGGUGGGAUGAUGAGUUCAAUGAGAUCGUGAGUGCAAAAACUGAACUCAUCAUCCCACCUGCCUUCCUCUGGCCCGAACUACCUUCUUCUCAUGACUUCCCAGCCAAAAAAGCUCAACAUUCAGAAAACUAAGAUAUGGCAUCCAGUCCCAUCACUUCAUGGCAAAUAGAUGGGGAAACAAUGGAAACAGUGGCUGACUUUAU